This 66-nucleotide transfer RNA is filed under the name Scopula lactea. Its description in RNAcentral is "tRNA-Ile". The record is from RNAcentral. Lineage: Eukaryota; Metazoa; Arthropoda; Insecta; Lepidoptera; Geometridae.
AAUAAAGUGCCUGAUUAAAGGAUUAUUCUGAUAGGAUAAAUAAUGUAAAUAAAAUUACCUUUAUUA